GGUUAAGUGACUAAGCGUACACGGUGGAUGCCUUGGCAGUCAGAGGCGAUGAAGGACGUAUUAACUUGCGAUAAGCGUAGAUGAGGCAGUAAAAGCCACUUGAGUCUACGAUUUCCGAAUGGGGAAACCCAACUGCAUAAGCAGUUAUCGUUGCGUGAAUACAUAGCGUAACGAGGCGAACCGGGAGAACUGAAACAUCUAAGUACCCCGAGGAAAAGAAAUCAACCGAGAUUCUGGAAGUAGCGGCGAGCGAAACCGGAUUAGCCCUUAAGCUUUUUAUGCGUCAGGUGAAGUGUCUGGAAAGGCACGCGAUACAGGGUGAUAGCCCCGUAACCGGCAACGCAUUUUAAGUGAAAUCGAGUAAGGCGGGACACGUGAUAUCCUGUCUGAAUAUGGGGGGACCAUCCUCCAAGGCUAAAUACUCCUGACUGACCGAUAGUGAACCAGUACCGUGAGGGAAAGGCGAAAAGAACCCCUGUGAGGGGAGUGAAAUAGAACCUGAAACCGUGUACGUACAAGCAGUAGGAGCCUCUUUUAUAGGGUGACUGCGUACCUUUUGUAUAAUGGGUCAGCGACUUAUAUUCAGUGGCAAGGUUAACCGAUUAGGGGAGCCGUAGCGAAAGCGAGUCUUAACUGGGCGCACAGUCUCUGGAUAUAGACCCGAAACCGAGUGAUCUAGCCAUGGGCAGGUUGAAGAUUGAGUAACAUCAAUUGGAGGACCGAACCGACUAAUGUUGAAAAAUUAGCGGAUGACUUGUGGCUAGGGGUGAAAGGCCAAUCAAACUCGGAGAUAGCUGGUUCUCCCCGAAAGCUAUUUAGGUAGCGCCUCGGACGAAUACUACUGGGGGUAGAGCACUGUUAAGACUAGGGGGUCAUCCCGACUUACCAACUCUUUGCAAACUCCGAAUACCAGUAAGUACUAUCCGGGAGACACACGGCGGGUGCUAACGUCCGUCGUGGAGAGGGAAACAACCCAGACCGCCAGCUAAGGUCCCAAAUUAUUACUAAGUGGGAAACGAUGUGGGAAGGCUCAGACAGCUAGGAUGUUGGCUUAGAAGCAGCCAUCAUUUAAAGAAAGCGUAAUAGCUCACUAGUCGAGUCGGCCUGCGCGGAAGAUGUAACGGGGCUAAGUAAUAAACCGAAGCUGCGGCAAUGCUCUUUUAGAGUAUUGGGUAGGGGAGCGUUCUGUAAGCCGUUGAAGGUGGAUUGAGAAGUCUGCUGGAGGUAUCAGAAGUGCGAAUGCUGACAUGAGUAACGAUAAUGGGGGUGAAAAACCCCCACGCCGGAAGACCAAGGGUUCCUGUCCAACGUUAAUCGGGGCAGGGUAAGUCGACCCCUAAGGCGAGGCUGAAAAGCGUAGUCGAUGGGAAACGGGUUAAUAUUCCCGUACUUCUUACAAUUGCGAUGGGGGGACGGAGAAGGCUAGGUGGGCCUGGCGAUGGUUGUCCAGGUUCAAGUGCGUAGGCUGAGUAUUUAGGUAAAUCCGGAUAUUCAUUAGGCUGAGACACGACGUCGAGCACCCAAGGGUGUGAAGUCAUUGAUGCCAUGCUUCCAGGAAAAGCCUCUAAGCUUCAGAUUGUAAGAAAUCGUACCCCAAACCGACACAGGUGGUCGGGUAGAGAAUACCAAGGCGCUUGAGAGAACUCGGGUGAAGGAACUAGGCAAAAUGGUACCGUAACUUCGGGAGAAGGUACGCUCUAUAUAGGUGAAGAGACUCGCUCUUGGAGCCGAAAAGAGUCGCAGAUACCAGGUGGCUGCAACUGUUUAUUAAAAACACAGCACUGUGCAAAAUCGUAAGAUGACGUAUACGGUGUGACGCCUG
Molecule: non-coding RNA, 1822 nt
Organism: Vibrio sp.
Lineage: Bacteria; Pseudomonadati; Pseudomonadota; Gammaproteobacteria; Vibrionales; Vibrionaceae
Source: Rfam